AACGAAUGCUGGCGGCAGGCUUAACACAUGCAAGUCGAACGCACUCUUCGGAGUGAGUGGCAGACGGGUGAGUAACGCGUGGGAAUCUACCCAGCCCUUCGGAAUAGCUCCGGGAAACUGGAAUUAAUACCGAGUACGCCUACGGGGAAAGGAUUUAUCGGGUUGGAUGAGCCCGCGUUGGAUUAGCUAGUUGGUGGGGUAAGUGGCCUACCAAGGCGACGAUCCAUAGCUGGUCUGAGAGGAUGAUCAGCCACACUGGGACUGAGACACGGCCCAGACUCCUACGGGGGCGUNCAGUAACGAAUCUUCCGCAAUGCCCGCAAGGGUG
This 328-nucleotide ribosomal RNA is filed under the name uncultured bacterium. RNAcentral describes it as "bacterial SSU rRNA". It matches the Rfam family "Bacterial small subunit ribosomal RNA", at positions 29 to 385 of the family's 1533-position model. The record is from RNAcentral.